CUACGGGGUGCACCAGUGGGGAAUAUUGCACAAUGGAGGAAACUCUGAUGCAGCAACGCCGCGUGGAGGAUGACACUUUUCGGAGCGUAAACUCCUUUUAUAUAGGAAGAAGAUGACGGUACUAUAUGAAUAAGCGCCGGCUAACUCCGUGCCAGCAGCCGCGGUAAUACGGAGGGCGCAAGCGUUACUCGGAAUCACUGGGCGUAAAGAGCGUGUAGGCGGAUUAAAAAGUCAGAAGUGAAAUCCUAUAGCUUAACUAUAGAACUGCUUCUGAAACUCUUAAUCUAGAAUAAGGGAGAGGUAGAUGGAAUUUCUGGUGUAGGGGUAAAAUCCGUAGAGAUCAGAAGGAAUACCGAUUGCGAAGGCGAUCCACUAGAACAUUAUUUACGCUGAGACGCGAAAGCGUGGGGAGCAAACAGGAUUAGAUACCCCCGUAGUC
This 439-nucleotide ribosomal RNA is filed under the name uncultured bacterium. RNAcentral's name for it is "partial 16S ribosomal RNA". It matches the Rfam family "Bacterial small subunit ribosomal RNA", at positions 339 to 795 of the family's 1533-position model. The record is from RNAcentral.